CAACCCUUAAGCCUAGCUUAGUGUUGGGAAUCUACUUCUUUAUAGUUGUAGUUCCUGAAAUACAACGGCGGAUUUGUAGUAUCCUCUGAGCGUAGUAAUUUUUUCUCGCUUUUGUUAGGUGCUAUAACUCCCAGCCGCUAAACCCCCAAUUUUUUGU
RNAcentral lists this unclassified non-coding RNA (157 nucleotides) under uncultured Pestalotiopsis. RNAcentral describes it as "sequence contains ITS2". The record is from RNAcentral. Lineage: Eukaryota; Fungi; Ascomycota; Sordariomycetes; Amphisphaeriales; Amphisphaeriaceae.